UUGAACGCUGGCGGCAGGCCUAACACAUGCAAGUCGAGCGGCAGCGCGGGGGCAACUCUGGCGGCGAGCGGCGGACGGGUGAGUAACGCGUGGGAAUCUAACCAGUAGAGGGGGAUAGCCCGGGGAAACUCGGAUUAAUACCGCAUACGCCCUAAGGGGGAAAGCAGGGGAUCUUCGGACCUUGCACUAUUGGAAGAGCCCGCGUCGGAUUAGCUAGUUGGUAGGGUAAAGGCCUACCAAGGCGACGAUCCGUAACUGGUCUGAGAGGAUGAUCAGUCACACUGGAACUGAGACACGGUCCAGACUCCUACGGGAGGCAGCAGUGGGGAAUAUUGCGCAAUGGGCGAAAGCCUGACGCAGCCAUGCCGCGUGUGUGAAGAAGGCCUUAGGGUUGUAAAGCACUUUCAGUAGGGAGGAAAGGUGUAAGGUUAAUACCCUUGCGCUGUGACGUUACCUACAGAAGAAGCACCGGCUAACUCUGU
This 482-nucleotide ribosomal RNA is filed under the name uncultured bacterium. Its description in RNAcentral is "bacterial SSU rRNA". It matches the Rfam family "Bacterial small subunit ribosomal RNA", at positions 29 to 506 of the family's 1533-position model. The record is from RNAcentral.